RNAcentral lists this microRNA (24 nucleotides) under Brachypodium distachyon (stiff brome). RNAcentral describes it as "bdi-miR7726a-3p". The record is from miRBase by way of RNAcentral. Lineage: Eukaryota; Viridiplantae; Streptophyta; Magnoliopsida; Poales; Poaceae.
UGCGAAUCUGUCACCGUUGUCCCC